GACGAACGCUGGCGGCGUGCCUGAUACAUGCAAGUCGAGCGAACUGAUUAAGAGCUUGCUCUUAUGACGUUAGCGGCGGACGGGUGAGUAACACGUGGGCAACCUGCCCUGUAGAUCGGGAUAACACCGAGAAAUCGGUGCUAAUACCGGGUAAUAUCUGAGAUCACAUGAUCUUAGGUUAAAAGAUGGCUCCGGCUAUCACUACAGGAUGGGCCCGCGGCGCAUUAGCUAGUUGGUAAGGUAAUGGCUUACCAAGGCGACGAUGCGUAGCCGACCUGAGAGGGUGAUCGGCCACACUGGGACUGAGACACGGCCCAGACUCCUACGGGAGGCAGCAGUAGGGAAUCUUCCGCAAUGGACGAAAGUCUGACGGAGCAACGCCGCGUGAGUGAUGAAGGGUUUCGGCUCGUAAAGCUCUGUUGUUAGGGAAGAAACAGUACCGAACGAACUAGGUCGGUACCUUGACGGUACCUAACCAGAAAGCCACGGCUAACUACGUG
Molecule: ribosomal RNA, 500 nt
Filed under: uncultured bacterium
Lineage: Bacteria
Description: partial 16S ribosomal RNA
Rfam family: Bacterial small subunit ribosomal RNA
Source: RNAcentral